AGAGCCAAGAAUGACUUGCCGGCCGCAAUUGUUGAGGCUGCCCGCCGGGGGGUCAUUCUUGCUCU
Non-coding RNA from Ricinus communis (castor bean), 65 nucleotides. The record is from Rfam. NCBI's taxonomy places the organism in Eukaryota, Viridiplantae, Streptophyta, Magnoliopsida, Malpighiales, Euphorbiaceae.